GAUGAACGCUGGCGGCGUGCCUAAUACAUGCAAGUCGAGCGAACAGACGAGGAGCUUGCUCCUCUGACGUUAGCGGCGGACGGGUGAGUAACACGUGGAUAACCUACCUAUAAGACUGGGAUAACUUCGGGAAACCGGAGCUAAUACCGGAUAAUAUAUUGAACCGCAUGGUUCAAUAGUGAAAGACGGUUUUGCUGUCACUUAUAGAUGGAUCCGCGCCCCAUUAGCUAGUUGGUAAGGUAACGGCUUACCAAGGCAACGAUGCGUAGCCGACCUGAGAGGGUAAGCGGCCACACUAGAACUGAGACACGGUCCAGACUCCUACGGGAGGCAGCAGUAGGGAAUCUUCCGCAACGGGCGAAAGCCUGACGGAGCAACGCCGCGUGAGUGAUGAAGGUCUUCGGAUCGUAAAACUCUGUUAUUAGGGAAGAAAAAAUGUGUAAGUAACUAUGCACGUCUUAACGGUACCUAAUCAGAAAGCCACGGCUAACUACGUG
RNAcentral lists this ribosomal RNA (497 nucleotides) under uncultured bacterium. RNAcentral's name for it is "partial 16S ribosomal RNA". It matches the Rfam family "Bacterial small subunit ribosomal RNA", at positions 28 to 507 of the family's 1533-position model. The record is from RNAcentral.